This 472-nucleotide ribosomal RNA is filed under the name uncultured bacterium. RNAcentral describes it as "bacterial SSU rRNA". It matches the Rfam family "Bacterial small subunit ribosomal RNA", at positions 355 to 825 of the family's 1533-position model. The record is from RNAcentral.
UGGGGAAUUUUGGACAAUGGGCGCAAGCCUGAUCCAGCCAUGCCGCGUGAGUGAAGAAGGCCUUCGGGUUGUAAAGCUCUUUCGGCGGGGACGAAACGGUUCGUGACAACACCACGGACUAAUGACGGUACCCGCAUAAGAAGCACCGGCUAACUACGUGCCAGCAGCCGCGGUAAUACGUAGGGUGCAGGCGUUAAUCGGAAUUACUGGGCGUAAAGGGUGCGCAGGCGGUUUGUUAAGACAGGUGUGAAAUCCCCGGGCUUAACCUGGGAAUUGCGCUUGUAACUGGCAGGCUAGAGUGUGGCAGAGGGGGGUGGAAUUCCACGUGUAGCAGUGAAAUGCGUAGAUAUGUGGAGGAACACCGAUGGCGAAGGCAGCCCCCUGGGUUAACACUGACGCUCAUGCACGAAAGCGUGGGGAGCAAACAGGAUUAGAUACCCUUGUAGUCCCUGAGCGGGCUGGCAAGGCGCAU